GGCACAGAUAGCAGUCGUGGAUGAAUUAUUUCCCUUCUUAAGCAUCAGCUCUUUAAAACACUAUGGUGAUUUGGAAAGUCCCGAGAGUGAACUGUGAAGUUUUCUUCAUCUCAAUCAAUGGGUUUCUUAAGCAUUUCUCCAAAUCAUUGAUGUUCAGAGAUGAUGUGUGAUGGAAAAAACACCCUGUCUGUGUGUUUAUAGCCCCUGAUUUUUGGAUUAGUUUGCUGUGUUGCUGAACCGAUUUUGUUUCGAGGGCAAGGAGUGAAUGUGAUGGAUUUAUCUUCAGAGAUGAACAAACAUGGAAGGAAUCCAGUAAGUCACAAACUAGAAGAUCAAAAGAAGGAAGAAUUUUGGUGGUUUGGACUUGCAGCAACUUUGGUCGACAAAAAUUUCUUACACCAUUCUUGCCAUGUUUCCUUCUCACUAUUCUGAAGACUGGCAAAUGAAGUCAUAAUGUUGAGUAACAAGUCAUGCAGCUGAUUAGGACAAAAGGAUCUUGUGUAGGUUAGAUCACAGUGUGGUUUGGAUGAUUGUGAGAGAAUCUGCCCCGGUAACAGAAGACAGAGAAGCCAUUAUAGUUAUCCUUGCUUGCAAGUGGCUGCAUCUUUGCCACUGCAGUGUGCUACUACAGUUUGUGUGACUAUUUAUGGUUGUACAAAUACAAAUUAAACUAUCUUUACUGUUUGGGGCUUAAGUGUUAUACUUAAUGGCUCCUAAAUCAAUUUGCUCUAUAGAAUUAUUGGUGCAGCUUUGAUCAAACUUUGCCUUUAGCUAAAUCUCUGCAAUUACAUUGGAAGAUAAGAGGCUGCUGUCCGAGAACAGCUGAAAUCAAAAUGUAAAGACCUUUAAGUCACACAUAUGCCUCAGAGAAUAAAAUUUGAUCUGCGGAAGUUAUUUUCUGCA
This 903-nucleotide long non-coding RNA is filed under the name Anas platyrhynchos platyrhynchos (common mallard). Its description in RNAcentral is "lncRNA (ENSAPLG00000017036.1)". The record is from RNAcentral. Lineage: Eukaryota; Metazoa; Chordata; Aves; Anseriformes; Anatidae.